GACGUAGGGCGCGAGCGUUGUCCGGAUUUAUUGGGCGUAAAGAGCUCGUAGGCGGCUUGUCGCGUCGACUGUGAAAACCCACGGCUUAACUGUGGGCUUGCAGUCGAUACGGGCAGGCUAGAGUUCGGUAGGGGAGACUGGAAUUCCUGGUGUAGCGGUGAAAUGCGCAGAUAUCAGGAGGAACACCGGUGGCGAAGGCGGGUCUCUGGGCCGAUACUGACGCUGAGACGCGAAAGCGUGGGGAGCAAACAGG
Molecule: ribosomal RNA, 253 nt
Filed under: uncultured bacterium
Lineage: Bacteria
Description: partial 16S ribosomal RNA
Rfam family: Bacterial small subunit ribosomal RNA
Source: RNAcentral